RNAcentral lists this ribosomal RNA (259 nucleotides) under uncultured bacterium. RNAcentral describes it as "partial 16S ribosomal RNA". It matches the Rfam family "Bacterial small subunit ribosomal RNA", at positions 95 to 354 of the family's 1533-position model. The record is from RNAcentral.
UUGGCGGACGGGUGAGUAACACGUGAGCAACCUGCCUUCGAGAGGGGAAUAACGGCUGGAAACGGUCGCUAAUACCGCAUAACAUACAGGAGGGACAUCCCUUUUGUAUCAAAGAUUUAUCGCUCGAAGAUGGGCUCGCGUCCGAUUAGGUAGUUGGCAGGGUAACGGCCUACCAAAGCGACGAUCAGUAGCCGGCCUGAGAGGGCGGACGGCCACACUGGGACUGAGACACGGCCCAGACUCCUACGGGAGGCAGCAG